RNAcentral lists this unclassified non-coding RNA (310 nucleotides) under plant metagenome. RNAcentral describes it as "partial contains 5.8S ribosomal RNA, internal transcribed spacer 2, and large subunit ribosomal RNA". The stretch from base 1 to 105 matches the Rfam family "5.8S ribosomal RNA", at positions 50 to 154 of the family's 154-position model. The record is from RNAcentral.
GAAAUGCGAUAAGUAGUGUGAAUUGCAGAAUUCAGUGAAUCAUCGAAUCUUUGAACGCACAUUGCGCCCCUUGGUAUUCCGUGGGGCAUGCCUGUUCGAGCGUCAUUUGUACCCUCAAGCUCUGCUUGGUGUUGGGUGUUUGUCCCCGUCUCCGCGCGUGGACUCGCCCCAAAGUGAUUGGCAGCCGGCGUACUGGUCCCGGAGCGCAGCACAUGUCGCGCAAACGAGUGCCUUGGUACGGCGGCGUCCAUAAGCCCCUCUCUCACGCUCUUGACCUCGGAUCAGGUAGGGAUACCCGCUGAACUUAAGC